RNAcentral lists this ribosomal RNA (404 nucleotides) under Actinomycetes bacterium. Its description in RNAcentral is "Actinobacteria bacterium partial 16S ribosomal RNA". It matches the Rfam family "Bacterial small subunit ribosomal RNA", at positions 355 to 776 of the family's 1533-position model. The record is from RNAcentral. Lineage: Bacteria; Bacillati; Actinomycetota; Actinomycetes.
UAGGGAAUCUUCCGCAAUGGGCGAAAGCCUGAUCCAGCCAUGCCGCGUGAGUGAUGAAGGCCCUAGGGUUGUAAAGCUCUUUCACCGGUGAAGAUAAUGACGGUAACCGGAGAAGAAGCCCCGGCUAACUUCGUGCCAGCAGCCGCGGUAAUACGAAGGGGGCUAGCGUUGUUCGGAUUUACUGGGCGUAAAGCGCACGUAGGCGGACUAUUAAGUCAGGGGUGAAAUCCCGGGGCUCAACCCCGGAACUGCCUUUGAUACUGGUAGUCUUGAGUUCGAGAGAGGUGAGUGGAAUUCCGAGUGUAGAGGUGAAAUUCGUAGAUAUUCGGAGGAACACCAGUGGCGAAGGCGGCUCACUGGCUCGAUACUGACGCUGAGGUGCGAAAGCGUGGGGAGCAAACAGG